GUAGAAUUUUAGUCAAAAUUAUAAUUAUGUAAACAAAAACAAAUCUAUGAUAGAAAGAUUUCUGGGUGGAGAAUUUCUAGAACAAUAAGUAUUGUCAACACCAUGAACAUUAUUUGAAGAAUUAUAAAACUUCAUGGUUGAUAACAACACAACCUUUGAAGGUUUGCAAACUAUUACGAGUCUUAUAAGUAGUGUUGAUAUAGUUCAGUUAGUGAGAGCCUACUGAAUAUACAAAUUAAAUACUAUGAUUGUAAAGUACUGAUACAAUUAUCACUAAGUGGUAUUAAUGGUAUAGGAAUGUAAUUCAUGAAUACAAAUGACCUAAAGAUUUUAAGGUUGCUAGAAACCAUAUGAUUC
Molecule: non-coding RNA, 357 nt
Organism: Pelobates cultripes (western spadefoot toad)
Lineage: Eukaryota; Metazoa; Chordata; Amphibia; Anura; Pelobatidae
Source: the annotation of a GenBank genome assembly